AGCAUAUCAAUAAGCGGAGGAAAAGAAACCAACAGGGAUUGCCUCAGUAACGGCGAGUGAAGCGGCAACAGCUCAAAUUUGAAAUCUGGCCCUUUCAGGGUCCGAGUUGUAAUUUGCAGAGGGUGCUUUGGCGUUGGCGGCGGUCUAAGUUCCUUGGAACAGGACAUCGCAGAGGGUGAGAAUCCCGUAUGUGGUCGCCUGCCUUCGCCGUGUAAAGCCCCUUCGACGAGUCGAGUUGUUUGGGAAUGCAGCUCUAAAUGGGAGGUAAAUUUCUUCUAAAGCUAAAUACCGGCCAGAGACCGAUAGCGCACAAGUAGAGUGAUCGAAAGAUGAAAAGCACUUUGGAAAGAGAGUCAAACAGCACGUGAAAUUGUUGAAAGGGAAGCGCUUGCAGCCAGACGUGCCCGCAGUUGCUCACCCGGGCGUUCGCCCGGGGCAUUCUUCUGCGGGCAGGCCAGCAUCAGUUUGGGCGGUCGGAUAAAGGGCUCUGACACGUACUUCCCUUCGGGGUUGACAUACAGGGGAGCCGUCAUGCGACCAGCCCGGACUGAGGUCCGCGCAUCUGCUAGGAUGCUGGCGUAAUGGCUGUAAGCGGCCCG
This 599-nucleotide ribosomal RNA is filed under the name Periconia macrospinosa. Its description in RNAcentral is "eukaryotic LSU rRNA". It matches the Rfam family "Eukaryotic large subunit ribosomal RNA", at positions 37 to 651 of the family's 3401-position model. The record is from RNAcentral. Lineage: Eukaryota; Fungi; Ascomycota; Dothideomycetes; Pleosporales; Periconiaceae.